UACGAGAGGCCCAAGCGUUAUUCGGAAUUACUGGGCUUAAAGAGUUCGUAGGCGGCAUGAAAAGUAGGGUGUGAAAGCCCUCGGCUCAACCGAGGAAUUGCGCUCUAAACUGUCGUGCUAGAGGAAUCUAGAGGUGAGCGGAACUGAUGGUGGAGCGGUGAAAUGCGUUGAUAUCAUCAGGAACACCGGAGGCGAAGGCGGCUCACUGGGGAUUUUCUGACGCUGAGGAACGAAAGCGUGGGUAGCAAACAGG
Molecule: ribosomal RNA, 253 nt
Filed under: uncultured bacterium
Lineage: Bacteria
Description: partial 16S ribosomal RNA
Rfam family: Bacterial small subunit ribosomal RNA
Source: RNAcentral